Molecule: small RNA, 103 nt
Filed under: Rhizobium sp. Root482
Lineage: Bacteria; Pseudomonadati; Pseudomonadota; Alphaproteobacteria; Hyphomicrobiales; Rhizobiaceae
Description: Alphaproteobacterial sRNA ar35
Rfam family: Alphaproteobacterial sRNA ar35
Source: Rfam by way of RNAcentral
AUCGACCUCACAGGGAGUCGUCUCCGGACUGACCACGGAUGGACUGGCAGUCUGUAGAGAUGGUGAAGAAGGUCGGUGCGGAUGUCGCCCGGCCUUUUUCGUU